This 580-nucleotide long non-coding RNA is filed under the name Mus musculus (house mouse). Its description in RNAcentral is "long non-coding RNA chr7:25848193-25848773". The record is from RNAcentral. Lineage: Eukaryota; Metazoa; Chordata; Mammalia; Rodentia; Muridae.
GGGAGAGAGUAAAAUUCGCGUCUGUGAGAGGACGACUAAGGGGAGAGAACUACACCUCUCACUCAAUUCUCAAAAGUCCCGAGGAGGGGUGGAGAGGUGGUUCGGGUGUUAAGAAUGCAUACUGCUUUUGCAGAGGACUGAGUUUAGUGCCGAGCACCCACACAAGGGUACUCACAACUGCCUGUAACAACCCCUCCAGGCUCCAUGCCUUCCUGGCUCUAUGGGCACCCACACUCAUUUGCACAGUUCCCCGUGCAUACAAAUAAUUAAAAAGAAAACAGAUCUUUUAAAAGAAGUCCCGAGGAGAAUGUGCUUUAGAUUCUCCCUUUCAAGAUAGACGGAGGCUCAGGCAGUCGAUGCAGCUGCUUAAAUCAAUGCGAAGCUCCGAUACAGUACAGUGUGGUGAAACUGGCUGAUUGAUUCAAGAAACUGACCAGGCGCUGGUGGCACAUGCCUUUAAUCCGAGUACUCGGGAGACAGGGGUAGGUGGAUUUCUGUGAGUUCGAGGCUAGCCUGGUCUACGGAGUGAGUUCCAGGAUAGCCAGGUCCACACAGAAAAGCCAAAAUGUCAAGAAAAGCC